Molecule: non-coding RNA, 70 nt
Organism: Podarcis lilfordi (Lilford's wall lizard)
Lineage: Eukaryota; Metazoa; Chordata; Lepidosauria; Squamata; Lacertidae
Source: the annotation of a GenBank genome assembly
GGUUCUGGCUCAGUGGUAGAGCACGUGCUUUGAAUGUAGAUGAUGCCAAGUUCAGUCCCUGGCAUCUCCA